GAUGAACGCUGGCGGCGUGCCUAAUACAUGCAAGUCGAGCGAACGGACGAGAAGCUUGCUUCUCUGAUGUUAGCGGCGGACGGGUGAGUAACACGUGGAUAACCUACCUAUAAGACUGGGAUAACUUCGGGAAACCGGAGCUAAUACCGGAUGAUAUUUUGAACCGCAUGGUUCAAAAGUGAAAGACGGUCUUGCUUUCACUUAUAGAUUGAUCCGCGCUGCAUUAGCUAGUUGGUAAGGUAACGGCUUACCAAGGCAACGAUGCAUAGCCGACCUGAGAGGGUGAUCGGCCACACUGGAACUGAGACACGGUCCAGACUCCUACGGGAGGAAGCAGUAGGGAAUCUUCCGCAAUGGGCGAAAGCCUGACGGAGCAAAGCCGCGUGAGUGAUGAAGGUCUUCGGAUCGUAAAACUCUGUUAUUAGGGAAGAACAUAUGUGUAAGUAACUGUGCACAUCUUGACGGUACCUAAUCAGAAAGCCACGGCUAACUACGUG
RNAcentral lists this ribosomal RNA (497 nucleotides) under uncultured bacterium. Its description in RNAcentral is "partial 16S ribosomal RNA". It matches the Rfam family "Bacterial small subunit ribosomal RNA", at positions 28 to 507 of the family's 1533-position model. The record is from RNAcentral.